GCUCAGGUGGUGAAAUUGGUAUACACGCCACUUUGAGGGGGUGGUGGGCGGAUCGCCCGUGUGAGUUCGAGUCUCAUCCUGAGCAC
RNAcentral lists this transfer RNA (86 nucleotides) under Bacteroidetes bacterium ADurb.Bin416. RNAcentral's name for it is "tRNA-Leu". It matches the Rfam family "tRNA". From Rfam's summary of the family: Transfer RNA (tRNA) molecules are approximately 80 nucleotides in length. Their secondary structure includes four short double-helical elements and three loops (D, anti-codon, and T loops). Further hydrogen bonds mediate the characteristic L-shaped molecular structure. tRNAs have two regions of fundamental functional importance: the anti-codon, which is responsible for specific mRNA codon recognition, and the 3' end, to which the tRNAs corresponding amino acid is attached (by aminoacyl-tRNA synthetases). tRNAs cope with the degeneracy of the genetic code in two manners: having more than one tRNA (with a specific anti-codon) for a particular amino acid; and 'wobble' base-pairing, i.e. permitting non-standard base-pairing at the 3rd anti-codon position. The record is from RNAcentral. Lineage: Bacteria; Pseudomonadati; Bacteroidota.